GGACUGCCAGGGCUUUGUGAUGCGCUCUCAAAGAGUCGAGUUGUUUGGGAAUGCAGCUCAAAAUGGGUGGUAAAUUCCAUCUAAAGCUAAAUAUUGGCGAGAGACCGAUAGCGAACAAGUACCGUGAGGGAAAGAUGAAAAGAACUUUGGAAAGAGAGUUAAACAGUACGUGAAAUUGCUGAAAGGGAAACGCUUGAAGUCAGUCGCGUCGUCCAGGGAUCAACCUUGCUUUUGCUUGGUGCACUUUCUGGUUCGAUGGGUCAGCAUCAAUUUUGACUGUUGGAAAAAGGUUGAGGGAAUGUGGCAUCUUUGGAUGUGUUUAUAGCCCUUGGUCACAUACAAUGGUUGGGAUUGAGGAACUCAGCACGCCGCAAGGCCGGGUUUUAAACCACGUACGUGCUUAGGAUGCUGGCAAUAUGGCUUUAAUCGACCCGUCUUGAAACACGGACCAAGGAGUCUAACAUGCCUGCGAGUGUUUGGGUGGAAAACCCGAGCGCGUAAUGAAAGUGAAAAGUUGAGAUCCCUGUCGUGGGGAGCAUCGACGCCCGGACCAGACCUUUUGUGACGGUUCCGCGGUAGAGCAUGUAUGUUGGGACCCGAAAGAUGGUGAACUAUGCCUGAAUAGGGUGAAUCCAGAGGAAACUCUGGUGGAGGCUCGUAGCGAUUCUGACGUGCAAAUCGAUCGUCAAAUUUGGGUAUAGGGGCGAAAGA
This 711-nucleotide ribosomal RNA is filed under the name Cortinarius cf. alboviolaceus RH1574. RNAcentral describes it as "eukaryotic LSU rRNA". It matches the Rfam family "Eukaryotic large subunit ribosomal RNA", at positions 230 to 930 of the family's 3401-position model. The record is from RNAcentral. Lineage: Eukaryota; Fungi; Basidiomycota; Agaricomycetes; Agaricales; Cortinariaceae.